Molecule: non-coding RNA, 346 nt
Organism: Salvelinus sp. IW2-2015
Lineage: Eukaryota; Metazoa; Chordata; Actinopteri; Salmoniformes; Salmonidae
Source: RefSeq, a predicted model, not a curated record
CUUAAUCUCUCUGUGUUGUAGAUAGUGGAGGUAUGCCUGAUAGGUCGGUGACACUGACUGGUUCCCAGACUCCAUACAAGCUGCCAAGAGGCUGUUGUCGGAGAUCGUUGAUAAGGGUCGUCCUGCUCCAGCCUUCCAUCACAACGACGCCGGCGGCCCCGGUAUGUCUGUUCAGGAGAUGCUGGUCCCUGCCUCCAAGGCUGGCCUGGUCAUCGGGAAGGGAGGAGAGACCAUCAAACAGCUGCAGGAGAGAGCCGGGGUCAAGAUGGUGAUGAUCCAGGAAGGGCCUCAGAACACGGGAGCAGACAAACCUCUACGCAUCUCUGGGGAACCUUUUAAAGUCCAG